AAAAGAAAAUGGAGGGGGGAAGAAUCAGCCCGAGGCCAAGCCUUGGCAGAGGACAUUUCAGCCUGGAUGAGUAACAUCUAACAAACUUACCAGCAACCAAAAGCAGGAGCUUAUAACGAGAACCGUCAGGUGGUGGUAAUUACAAGCAGUGCUACCAGCUCUAUCUGCAAUGUGCAUCACCCAGAAAAGGAGGGAACUGCAUAAAUGAUCCAAUGUUUUCUGGAGUGAUUUUGCAGACUCUGGGACACAUGCACUGUAACAAAAAAGCCUGAUUUGGUGAGAAGGUGUAUGAAAGCUUCCCGAGACACUUGUCAAUAAGAAGAACAUGGAGAGGGGGAAACAGGGAAGCACUGCUCGGGGCUCCAGCCCCGUGGUGGGACCAUCGCUUGCCCAGGACGCCCAUGCAUGCAGUCUCAAAAAUGAACUUUUUUCCCUUAUUUGUCCACUCGGUGGUGCUAAAACAACACCGCCCUUUUUUUGGCAUUUUCUCACUGCCGGGUGUCAGGCAGAGUGUCUGUGCUCUUUGGGGAUGUUCAAGUCACGGCUUUAAAAAAACUACCUCUACAAAUCCAAUAGCCAGGAAACCUAAUUAGCUCGCUGGGUCGCUGCUUCCUACCCUGGUGCUUCGUUUCCAAUGGAACAGAGAUAAGCAGGACAAAAGACUCAUCACACCUAAUUACACAGGAAGAGAUUAGCAAACCCACGAUCCUUUUCUCUAUGUUGAUUAUAAUUUAAUUAAUUUGGGAUUCUGUUUUUGUUUUCAAAAAGAGUUGACAGAGGAGAAUUGAUGCUGCUUGGCAAAGUUUGUGGGAAAAAUCAUUUUUUCUGAUAUGAGAAAGAUGGGUGAAAACCCCAAAGUUUAAUCUGCAACACACAACUCUCUUCAGGUUCAAUUACUUUUAAACUAGUGUGUGAGAUGAGCCUGAGCUUCAGCAUCCAGCACAGAGCCCAUCCUAUGUGGAGUGGCACACAGCAAGAAGGAUCAGGAUUUGAACAGCCAGACGUUUCCUAACUCUAACUCUCAGAGUCAACACUCACAAAAUGGCAAUUGGCUCAGUACGUCUGAAGGGGAGGAUUCUCUGAAGUUAAAAUCGGUUUUUGGAAGUUACUGAAUUCCCAUGUGCUUACGUGCCAUUUGAAACUGCGACGUGGAUACCUUGGGAAACUUCACCUUGUAUCUGUAACCUCUGGAUGGAUGAUUUAAUUUCUGAGGAGUUGAUGAGCCACAUCUUCCAAAGAAAAUUUGAUGUUUAGGAGUGUGUUACAGAGGCACCAUUAAAGCCAGAUGUUUUAAAGCUGUGGAAGACAGUAAACUGGAGAAGGCAUCAGAGAAGGAUGACAGCAUGGGGAGACUGACAGUCAUCAGGCCUGUCCGAGAAGGCUUCUGGACACGUGGUUACAUCAGGUACUUCAAAGGCUGUCUGUGCUACCUGAUGUUGGCAUUGAUAAUGCACUCAUGCUGUAGGAUCACUGCAUUCCACCUCCAGAAAUUUGCUGUAUCACCUUUGCUGUUUCAGUCAACACUGCCAUUAGGUUUAUUUUCGUAAACACUGGUAAUGUGGCAGCCAGGCUUUUAUUAGCACUUUGAUCUCUAUGAUUAUAUGGGACUCCUUAAGAAAGCAGUUUCUUUUGGUUGAGAACAGCUUUAUCUGUCCUUUAUCUUCUUCCCCCCUCUCCAGAGCUAAGAGUCUGCAAAGUAGAGUGCCUGUUUCAGUUAUAU
Long non-coding RNA from Aquila chrysaetos chrysaetos, 1720 nucleotides. RefSeq lists it as uncharacterized. The transcript is spliced from 5 exons. Lineage: Eukaryota; Metazoa; Chordata; Aves; Accipitriformes; Accipitridae. The record is from RefSeq and is a predicted model, not a curated record.